Long non-coding RNA from Melopsittacus undulatus (budgerigar), 348 nucleotides. RefSeq lists it as uncharacterized. The record is from RefSeq and is a predicted model, not a curated record. Lineage: Eukaryota; Metazoa; Chordata; Aves; Psittaciformes; Psittaculidae. The transcript is spliced from 3 exons.
CGUGCUAAGAGCAUGCCCAAGGUGUGGGGUGGAAGGCGGGGAUUGGCUCCGGGUUAGGUUCCUCCGGUCCUUGUCCGAUGUGCCGCCUACCGGAUGUGACUUUCCUAGGCCCUGGCCAGGAUUUAGGCCCUAUACUGCAAUGAUUCUGCCACCGGAAAGGAGGUUGUGAGCUGGUGAUCUGUCUCCUUUCACAAGUACCAAGUGAUAAGACAAGAGAAAAUGAACUCAGGCUGCACCAGAGAUAGAUAGUGUGGGACAAUGUCAGAUCUAGCUGGCACAAACCCUUUGGGAGGAAGCAAAGAAAAUUGAGGAAUCCAAGGAAAAGUAAAAUCUGCAUCGGAAGAAGGU